ACGGCUCAGUAACAGCGCGGAUACUCUGCCCUUGGGAGGAGGAUAACCUCGGGAAACUGAGAAUAAUACUCCAUAAGUCUAGGAUGCUGGAAUGCACUUAGACUAAAAACUUCGGUGCCCAAGGAUGAGUCUGCGAACUAUCAGGUUGUAGUUAGGGUAACGACCUGACUAGCCUACGACGGAUACGGGUUGUGAGAGCAAUAACCCGGAGAUGAUAUCUGAGACACGAUAUCAGGCCCUACGGGGCGCAGCAGGCGCGAAAACUUCGCAAUGUGCGAAAGCACGACGAGGGAAUCCCAAGUGCUGGCUCGUUAGAGUCAGCUGUUUUUAUGUCUAAAACGCAUAAAGAGUAAGGGCUGGGUAAGACGGGUGUCAGCCGCCGCGGUAAUACCUGCAGCUCAAGUGGUGGCCGCAAUUAUUGGGCCUAAAACGUCCGUAGCCGGUUUAUUAAAUGCCUAGGUAAAUUGUGUGGCUUAACCAUACGAAUUCUGGGUAGACUGGUAAACUUGAAACCGGGAGAAGCUAGAGGUACUUCUGGGGUAGAGGUGAAAUUCUG
RNAcentral lists this ribosomal RNA (556 nucleotides) under uncultured archaeon. Its description in RNAcentral is "bacterial SSU rRNA". It matches the Rfam family "Archaeal small subunit ribosomal RNA", at positions 85 to 642 of the family's 1478-position model. The record is from RNAcentral.